RNAcentral lists this ribosomal RNA (419 nucleotides) under Parvimonas sp. oral taxon 110. RNAcentral describes it as "bacterial SSU rRNA". It matches the Rfam family "Bacterial small subunit ribosomal RNA", at positions 28 to 430 of the family's 1533-position model. The record is from RNAcentral. Lineage: Bacteria; Bacillati; Bacillota; Tissierellia; Tissierellales; Peptoniphilaceae.
GACGAACGCUGGCGGCGUGCUUAACACAUGCAAGUCGAACGUGAUUUUUGUGGAAAGCCCUUCGGGGACGGAAGCGAAAUGAAAGUGGCGAACGGGUGAGUAACACGUGAGCAACCUACCUUACACAGGGGGAUAGCCGUUGGAAACGACGAUUAAUACCGCAUGAGACCACAAAACCACAUGGCUUAGGGGUAAAAGAUUUAUCGGUGUAAGAUGGGCUCGCGUCUGAUUAGCUAGUUGGAAGGGUAAAGGCCUACCAAGGCAACGAUCAGUAGCCGGUCUGAGAGGAUGAACGGCCACAUUGGAACUGAGACACGGUCCAAACUCCUACGGGAGGCAGCAGUGGGGAAUAUUGCACAAUGGGGGGAACCCUGAUGCAGCGACGCCGCGUGAGCGAAGAAGGUUUUCGAAUCGUAAAG